GGAGGAAGGUGGGGAUGACGUCAAGUCCUCAUGGCCCUUACGGGCUGGGCUACACACGUGCUACAAUGGCGGUGACAGUGGGCAGCGACCUCGCGAGGGGAAGCUAAUCUCCAAAAGCCGUCUCAGUUCGGAUUGUUCUCUGCAACUCGAGAGCAUGAAGUUGGAAUCGCUAGUAAUCGCGUAACAGCAUGACGCGGUGAAUACGUUCCCGGGCCUUGUACACACCGCCCGU
Molecule: ribosomal RNA, 232 nt
Filed under: Pseudovibrio sp.
Lineage: Bacteria; Pseudomonadati; Pseudomonadota; Alphaproteobacteria; Hyphomicrobiales; Stappiaceae
Description: partial 16S ribosomal RNA
Rfam family: Bacterial small subunit ribosomal RNA
Source: RNAcentral